AGCUUUGUUUCAGUUUCUCUAUGCCCUAACCUUGCCUGUUGGAAAACUAGUCGUCAACUACGUUGAGCAGAACCACAAGGACAAAAUGAAGAUCUUUAUGGCAAAGUAUUACUGUGUGAGAUUGCAUGCUUUAUUCGGUGCUGCUUUGGCAGCUGGACUGGUAGUAGCCAGAACCAUCGCUGGAAAAUAUGUUGACAUGACGGUUUUUCUCUGAUUUUCCACUCCAUAGAUUUCAAAAUCUGCCUGGAAAUAUAUGAUGCCCAUUGAGUCCAUACCUUUCCAUCAAAUCAUCUGCUUUAAGAAUGUCGACAAACUUCA
Molecule: non-coding RNA, 318 nt
Organism: Camellia sinensis
Lineage: Eukaryota; Viridiplantae; Streptophyta; Magnoliopsida; Ericales; Theaceae
Source: RefSeq, a predicted model, not a curated record